UUGCGGUGGAGUUCAGCUGCCCAGCAAGGUAAAACCACCACAGGGAGAUAAGCAAAGGAAUGAAUAUGAAGGAGCUGAAGCAAAGGAGCUGAAAAGGAAGAUGCCACCAGGAAGUCACAUCACCUGAAUAUUAUGGCAGAAAGGAGGACAUGUUCUGCUAUGUCCAUCAUCAUGUUGAUGUUGAAAGACGGGUGGUACCAGCAACAUCUACCCUUCUGGCAAAAGGAGGGUGUUCUGGAAAAAGAAUUACAUUCUGUAGUGAUCUUCGUUUUCUGCUAACACGAUGUGACUAAAGACAAGAGUAAAGGUGAGUUUUAUUCUCUUUCUUCUGGACAGAAAU
RNAcentral lists this long non-coding RNA (340 nucleotides) under Anser brachyrhynchus (Pink-footed goose). RNAcentral describes it as "lncRNA (ENSABRG00000019911.1)". Lineage: Eukaryota; Metazoa; Chordata; Aves; Anseriformes; Anatidae. The record is from RNAcentral.